GCUGGGCGCGGUGGCGGGCGCCUGUAGUCCCAGCUACUCGGGAGGCUGAGGCAGGAGAAUGGCGUGAACCCAGGAGGUGGAGCUUGCAGUGAGCCAAGAUUGUGCCACUGCACUCCAGCCUGGGUGACAGAGCAAGACUCUGUCUCAA
RNAcentral lists this non-coding RNA (148 nucleotides) under Nomascus leucogenys (northern white-cheeked gibbon). The record is from Rfam by way of RNAcentral. Lineage: Eukaryota; Metazoa; Chordata; Mammalia; Primates; Hylobatidae.